Molecule: long non-coding RNA, 208 nt
Filed under: Olea europaea (common olive)
Lineage: Eukaryota; Viridiplantae; Streptophyta; Magnoliopsida; Lamiales; Oleaceae
Description: long non-coding RNA (OEUR_LNC011314)
Source: RNAcentral
CGGCUUUGAUCGGAGGUCAGAGUGUCGGCCGACGAUUGUAUAGGUUUUGGAAUAUUAGAUAGGCUGUGAGAGUGAGUGCGAGAGUCGAGACAACGUUAUGCACUUUAUUGUAGGUGCUUAGGGUUAUUUAGUGGAUUUGAUUUGUUUGGCUAAGAAAUGAAACAAUAAAAUGGGUAAUUGGGCCAAAAAUUAAAAAAUUAGAAAUGAA